This 465-nucleotide ribosomal RNA is filed under the name Vreelandella stevensii. Its description in RNAcentral is "partial 16S ribosomal RNA". It matches the Rfam family "Bacterial small subunit ribosomal RNA", at positions 338 to 795 of the family's 1533-position model. The record is from RNAcentral. Lineage: Bacteria; Pseudomonadati; Pseudomonadota; Gammaproteobacteria; Oceanospirillales; Halomonadaceae.
CCUGCGGGUGGCUGCAGUGGGGAAUAUUGGACAAUGGGGGCAACCCUGAUCCAGCCAUGCCGCGUGUGUGAAGAAGGCCCUCGGGUUGUAAAGCACUUUCAGUGAGGAAGAACGCCUGGUGGUUAAUACCCAUCAGGAAAGACAUCACUCACAGAAGAAGCACCGGCUAACUCCGUGCCAGCAGCCGCGGUAAUACGGAGGGUGCGAGCGUUAAUCGGAAUUACUGGGCGUAAAGCGCGCGUAGGUGGCUUGAUAAGCCGGUUGUGAAAGCCCCGGGCUCAACCUGGGAACGGCAUCCGGAACUGUCAAGCUAGAGUGCAGGAGAGGAAGGUAGAAUUCCCGGUGUAGCGGUGAAAUGCGUAGAGAUCGGGAGGAAUACCAGUGGCGAAGGCGGCCUUCUGGACUGACACUGACACUGAGGUGCGAAAGCGUGGGUAGCAAACAGGAUUAGAUACCCCAGUAGUC